CUUAGCUGUAUCCAGUGGAGAGUAAAAUUACACUUUUACUCAUCCCCAGUUUCUUUCCAGUGCUUAAAAUUGUUUUCUGAGGCUCAGAAGCCUCAAUAUACGUAAUUCUUAACCAUGAAAAAUGGAAUUUCAAAAUUUUGCAAAUUUAUGACAAUAAGCUAGCCAGACUGCUAUAAUCUGCUUCUCGUAAUAAAAAUCAGAGGGCACCUUGUGGCCACUGGAGGAGGCAUGUAUUCUGGUCAGCCUUGUUCCUAUGGUGAUAUAAGCAUUUGAGCAGAUGCCCUAAAGGCAGUUAGCUAUCACUGUCAUGUUGGCUAAUAGUGGCAGGGUGACAUCGAUCCACAUGGACAACUUUAUUCAUGUUUCCAGCCAAAACCCUAAUCACUUUGCUGACUCUUCCUCAGUCAAACAGGUAGUGAAUGACAGUCAUUUAAAACUUCAAACUUUGAAAGUCAAUGUAUUAGAGCUCAAAGAAAGACUGCAGAGGCAAGUCAGAUACUCUCAGCUCAUUAUGGAUUAAGUUGUCAGUUCUUGAGAUUAGCUUUCUUUGUCUGUGUGUGUGUGCGCAUAUGUGUGUAUGUAUGUAUGUUCUGCAUGUGUUUUGCACUGGCAGGCAAAGAGAUACUCUUUUAGAUACCCCUUCAAGGAAGGACUUGCUACCUAGCAGUAACCAAUGUGGUCAUCAGAUAUCUUCCAGCUCUCAGUAACUUCAGAAUCUGACUCAGCUGCUGCUAAAAGCUGCCUUGCCUAAUCUCAUUUCCUUCCCAGGACAGUGACACCCCAUAGCUGAGCCAUGUGGAGUUAGAAAGUCCUGCUCUAGAGCUGCCCAAGGGGCUGCCUGAGGUCAAUACAGGCUUUUCCAGGCCUGUACUGGAGUUUAACUUCUCUACCCAAUCCUGCUUCCCCCAUUCUUUCUGCAGACAUUGAUCUCUAGUCACCAUUUGACACCUCAGACUUCCUUGAAACAUCUGGUCCCUGAGAACUAACUUCUGCAACGUGUAGCAUUGAGGAUGGCCCAAGAUAGCAGGAAGGAGUUUGGAUCUAGAUCACUCACAGCUCAAGAGACAGUGGGAAACCCAUCAUUGGUGAUAGGUAGAACACAGUCCCCAACUUUGAACUGGUAAAAAUUUGACCUGUGGUAAAUUGAGAGGGUAACUAGUUGAAAGAGAAUGUGUAGCUGGACAUGAAGUUCUAAGCAUUAAAAUGUAUAAGGAAAAUAAUAGCUAUAAGGGUAUGACAUUAGGCUGUUCUUGCUAAGCAACAUUGCUCUUUACAUAAAAAUAAUGAAGAACUGAGGGAGUGAACUAGAAGUAAAAGACAGGUGCAUAACAGAAGGUCUCUCUAGCUGCAUACAGAAAAAGCCCGCAUCUCUUCUGGCAGGGGCAUAAAGAAGCCAUGUGCCAAACCUAAGACUUUCUAAUCAAAGUGGCUGAACCUCAAAGGGAGUUCAAUGCAUUGGUUUGUGACAUCCAGAAAGGUCAUCCCUGACCCCUAAUAUUAGUUUUUAUCAUUUUGUCUUCUAACACUGGCUAUCUUAUGCUUAAAUCUUGGCUCCAUCUACAAUUUGUUUCCAUUUAUAAGGUUAGGUCUAUAUUUAUCGUUUAAAAUGUUGAACAAAACUAUUUUCAAUUUAAGGUAUUUUUAAAAUAGCUACUGUGUUUUAUUCAUUUUUUCUCAAUAGACCGGACUCAAUUCUCAAUGCAUCUUAAAUGACUGAGUAAACAGAUAAAUACGCCAUACCAGUAUUAUCUUGGUCAUAGAAAUUUGGGAUUUACACCAGUAGGUGCUGCAAAACAAUCAAGAUAAAACUGACAUUUUGUUAUGAAAAUGGAGAAGCUAGAUUUAUCUUUUUCAUAUGUAAGAAGUGCCUGUCACCUCCCACCAUGAUUCUGAGGCCUCCCCACCCAUGUGGAACUAAUUAAUCCUGUAGACACACCACACCAGGAUGGAAAUUUUCUUCUUUCCUCGUGCCUAUCAGAAAAUGAGGAAAAAAUAGUGAACACAUAGCAUCCAAUGCACCACAAAAGCCUCCUUAAAAGAGAAGAGAUACUAAAGGUAUCCAGAAAUAUUUCUGAGGACAAAUGAAAGAUAAAGAAUUAAAUUUCUAAAUCAUAAAGCAUUGUUCCAGAUAUUGAUAAUAACAGCCACCAGAAACUUCAAUAUAUUAUCUAAGAAAAGCAUGUGUUUACUAAUUAGAAAGUAAAACAGCACAGGAUAUCUAAAUAUCAAAUAAAUAAUUAAACAAGGCAGUUGAACAUCAUUUGGAUAUUACUGCUUUUAUUGUAUAAUCACUUGUUUUUGUAUUUGAUUAAUGUAAAAUUAGAGGGUGACUCAUAUUUUUCUUAUAUACAAUUUGUUUGGUUGACAAGAACUUUCAAAUACAGAAUCCAUUGAGUAAAGUACAUCUUAAAAGGAUUGUAAAGAAGGGAAUGAUCACCCUACAUAUAAUCACUAGACUGAAUAUAUAUUGUGAGAAGUCAAAUUUGAAAUAAGCAAAAGGUCUUUUGUGGGUGGCCCUUCACCAUUCCCUCUAGCCAUAGUCUUCAAAGAUUGAUCGAAAUUUGUGGGUGGAUCUUUAGCAUUGACAAAAUCAACCAAGGCAUCAGCAGAAACAGCCAUGUUCUUAAUGGCCAUGACUUAUACAUUGAUUACAUGACCCUUUUUCCAAAAUCAGCCAAGCAACUGGCAGAUUCUGAAAAUGAGCAUAGUAGUCUGUUUUCACACUGCUGUAAAGAAAUACCAGAGACUAGGUAAUUUAUAAAGAAAAGAAAUUUAAUUGACUCACAGUUCAUGACUGACUCCCCAGGAAACUUAUAAUCAUGGUGGGAACUUACACUCAUGGCGAAAGGUGAGGGGAAAGCAAGGCACAUCUUCCCAUAGUGGAGCAGUGGGGAGAGACAGCAAAGGGCAAAGUACCACAUACUUUUAAACCACCAGAUCUCGUGAGAACUCACUCACUAUCAGGAGAACAGCAAGGGGGAAAAUUCACCUCCAAGAUCCAAUCGCUUCCACCAGGCCCCUCCCCUGAUACGUGAGGAUUAUAGUUCUACAUGAAAUUUGGGUGGGGACAUGGAAGAAAUUCAACGUUUUCAUUUCAUAUUAAAAAAAAACAGAAGUUAAUACAAGAAAAGUUUCUUUUUAUUUAAAAGAAAAAAGCAAGAUAUUUGGUGUUCUAGCCCAAAUUUUUCAUACUGCAUUACAUGUAUAAGCCUCAAGAAGUUGUUCAUCACUUAUUGGCCCACAUAAUGCCUAAAUUCUAGACUGAGACAAGUUAUGACAUAUCACUGCUUCAGAAAUAUGAGUGAAUAGGAAAAGAAAAAUAACUCAAGGAAUGAAACAAGACAAAAAAAGAGGACUCAAAAAAGUCUGUGUGUGUGUGUGUGUGUGUGUGUAUAAUUAUCAUACUACAGACUUAUUUUACUUUCACUCUUUAAAGGAAGGUUCACUCUUUAUUUAGUAAAAUUGAGCAAAUGUGUCCAUAUCAGCAACUCUUUUACUUCAGAAAUUGAAGUGGGUCAGAAGCCCCCUCUGAGGCAGAAGUUGAAAAUCUGUAGCUCUAUGACCAUUAGAUGAGUUUUUUAUUUGCCCACAUUCCAACUAGCUGCCAAAGGUUAAAACUAAGAAGAUUGCACAGAAAAAAAAAAAACUGUGUUGUGCACUUCUUUUGAAAAAUGGAUUGAUCUAAGAACUCUGAGUCAACAUUUCUGGAACUGAGGGCCAGGAGAAACUCUUACUAUGGAUGUAGACCCUGCAGUUCACCAGAGGCUCCAGCACUCCUCAAUACUUUACCCAACAUCACUAUCACUUACCUGCUCAUAGCUCCUAAUGUAUCAUAUCCUAGGUGCCUAGAGGCUUCUGAGUUUGUGAUCCCUGUCAAAACACUUUACCUUCCAUCUCUGUGGCUUUAUCCAAAUAAAGUUUACUCUCGGUGUUCCCAUCUGAAAAAUGCAUGCAAUUGGCUCUAUUUUAUAUCAUUGUUUCUUUGAUUAUGUAACGUCAUAUGUGAAGGGCCUUGUGCAUAUUCUGGUGCAUUUGCUGCAUAAG
Molecule: long non-coding RNA, 4044 nt
Organism: Callithrix jacchus (white-tufted-ear marmoset)
Lineage: Eukaryota; Metazoa; Chordata; Mammalia; Primates; Cebidae
Source: RefSeq, a predicted model, not a curated record